Molecule: transfer RNA, 22 nt
Filed under: Hemiphyllodactylus pinlaungensis (Pinlaung slender gecko)
Lineage: Eukaryota; Metazoa; Chordata; Lepidosauria; Squamata; Gekkonidae
Description: partial tRNA-Tyr
Source: RNAcentral
UAAGUAGGUGUCCCUGCUACCA